Molecule: ribosomal RNA, 253 nt
Filed under: uncultured bacterium
Lineage: Bacteria
Description: partial 16S ribosomal RNA
Rfam family: Bacterial small subunit ribosomal RNA
Source: RNAcentral
UACGUAGGGUGCAAGCGUUGUCCGGAAUUAUUGGGCGUAAAGAGCUCGUAGGCGGUCUGUUGCGUCGGCUGUGAAAACCCGGGGCUCAACUCCGGGCCUGCAGCCGAUACGGGCAGACUAGAGUUCGGCAGGGGAGACUGGAAUUCCUGGUGUAUCGGUGAAAUGCGCAGAUAUCAGGAGGAACACCGGUGGCGAAGGCGGGUCUCUGGGCCGAUACUGACGCUGAGGAGCGAAAGCGUGGGGAGCGAACAGG